UUUUCUUUUCUUUUCUUUCAUUGAACUCCCAAACGAAAUAUUCAUCUUUUCUCUUCUUUUCCUUUCUUUUCUAAGUUAUCUUUUCUCUUCUCUUCUCUUCCUUCGUCUACUCCCAAACUAAGCCUUAUUUAUCAGUUCUGCACCCGCUGAGAAACUCUAAAACCCUCCCGCCUAAUUCUUAAACCUCAGUUUUUCUGCGUAAAUUAGCAAACAUUAGGAAAAAUGACGAGGAUAGCGCAAGCUCCGAUUCAAUUCACAAAACAGCCCUACAUUGAAGAUGUCGGCCCCCGCAAAAUAGAAAGUAUUCAGUUUUCUACAUUCGGAGAAUCCGAGAUUCUGAAAGCAGCUGAAGUACAAGUAUACCGCGGUGUAUAUUAUGAUUCUGCGAAAAAGCCUUGGGAGAAUGGCUUAUUAGACCCUCAUAUGGGCCCCGCAAACAAGAAUGGAAUUUGUGAAACAUGCCAUGGGAACUUUAGGGAAUGUCCAGGGCACUAUGGAUAUUUGACUCUUGCUCUUCCAGUUUACAAUGUUGGAUACUUGAUUACUGUCCUCGACAUCUUGAAGUGCAUUUGCAAGCAAUGUUCACAUGUGCUUCUCGGGGAGAAAGAACGCCUUAACUUUCUAAAGAAGAUGAGAAAUCCCAAAAUGGAGCCCUUGAGGAAGAGCGAGCUACAAAAAAUGGUAGUGAAGAGGUGUAAUGCCCUAGCAAGUAGCAGAAAAGCAGCUACUUGUUCUAGAUGCGGCUAUGUAAAUGGUAUGGUGAAAAAGAAUACUAAGAUGUUAGGCAUCAUGCAUGAAAGGACAAAAGUCAAUGACAGUUUCUUAAAUGAAUAUGGUUCUGCAAUUUCACACACGAAAGAGUCUAACACAUCCAAUUUUAGUGUUCCCGAUGAAAUUGACCCUAAAGUGGUUUAUUCCCUUCUCAAGAGAAUGCUGGAUGAGGACUGCGAGUUGCUGUAUCUAAAUGAUAGACCUGAGAAACUCAUGAUUUCAACCAUUCCUGUGCCUCCAAUAGCUAUUCGUCCAUCAGUUUUUGUGGAUGGUGGUAUGCAGAGUAACGAGAAUGACACUACAGAGAGACUAAAACGCAUUAUCCAAGCUAAUGCUAGUCUUCGUCAAGAAAUAUCAGACACAAGCCUUCCAUCCAAAAGCUUGAAUGGUUGGAUUGAUCUGCAAGUGGAGGUUGCACAAUAUAUAAAUAGUGAUGUACGUGGAGUUCCCUUAUCUGCACCAGCUACCAAACCUUUAAGUGGUUUUGUCCAGCGUCUGAAAGGGAAGCAAGGAAGAUUUCGUGGAAAUCUAUCAGGAAAACGUGUUGAGUAUACAGGAAGAACUGUUAUAUCUCCUGACCCAAAUUUGAAAAUCACGGAGGUUGCGGUUCCUAUAUUGAUGGCUCAGAUUUUAACGUAUCCUGAGCGAGUGUCCUAUCAUAAUAUAGAGAAGUUGAGGCAAUGCGUGCGAAAUGGGCCUAAAAAGUAUCCUGGAGCAAAAUACAUCAGGCAGCCAGAUGGUACCGAGAUAUCAUUGAAGUUUAGUUCUAGAAAGCGUCAUGCUGAUGAAUUGAAAUUUGGUUACAUAGUUGAUCGUCAUCUAGAAGAUGGAGAUGUUAUUCUCUUUAACAGACAACCGAGUCUGCAUAGAAUGUCCAUCAUGUGUCACAGGGCAAGAAUAAUGCCAUGGCGAACAUUGAGAUUUAAUGAGUCCGUCUGUAACCCAUAUAAUGCUGAUUUUGAUGGUGAUGAGAUGAAUAUGCAUGUGCCUCAAACAGAGGAGGCUCGCACAGAGGCGCUAAUGUUGAUGGGAGUGCAAAACAAUUUAUGCACUCCAAAAAAUGGAGAGAUUUUGGUUGCUUCCACACAGGACUUUUUGACAUCUUCAUUUCUCAUUACAAGGAAGGACACAUUUUAUGAUCGUGCUUCUUUUUCACUUAUGUGUUCAUACAUGGGGGAUGGGAUGGAUCAGAUUGAUUUGCCAACUCCUGCACUACUUAAGCCAGUUGAACUUUGGACCGGUAAACAAUUGUUCACUGUACUACUGCGUCCAUUUGCAAAAAUGAAAGUCUAUGUGAAUCUAACUGUUGCUGAAAAGAAUUACCAAAAGCCCAAAGAAACCAUGUGCCCGAAUGAUGGAUUUGUUUGCUUCCGUAAUAGUGAGCUGAUUAGUGGACAAUUGGGAAAAGCUACAUUAGGGAAUGGGAACAAGGAUGGUCUUUAUUCGGUCCUCCUAAGGGACUAUAAAUCACAUGCUGCUUCAGUAUGUAUGAAUCGCUUAGCAAAGUUGAGUGCAAGAUGGAUAGGGAAUCAUGGAUUUUCUAUCGGCAUUGAUGAUGUGCAACCACCUGAUCGUCUAAUUACUGCAAGGGAUGAAAAAAUUUCCACAGGAUAUGCAAUGUGUGAUGAAUUAAUAGAGAAGUAUAACAAGGGUGCGCUUGAGCUGCAGCCAGGUCAUGAUGCUGCACUGACACUUGAAGCUAAAAUAACAAAAGUUCUAAAUGACAUUCGAGAUAUUGCUGCCAAGGAAUGUUUGACGUGUCUGCAGUGGAGGAAUAGUCCUCUAAUUAUGUCACAAUGUGGUUCAAAGGGAUCUCCUAUAAAUAUCAGUCAGAUGGUUGCAUGUGUUGGACAACAAUCUGUCGGGGGUCGUCGGGCACCAAAUGGUUUCAUUGAUCGCAGCCUUCCUCAUUUUCCCAGAAAGUCAAAGAUCCCGAAGGCGAGAGGGUUUGUGGCAAAUUCAUUUUAUAGUGGUUUAAGUGCUACAGAAUUCUUUUUUCACACAAUGGGAGGAAGGGAAGGCCUUGUGGAUACAGCGGUUAAAACUGCUGAUACUGGAUACAUGUCUCGUAGACUCAUGAAAGCUUUGGAGGACCUUUCAAUUCAAUAUGACAACACUGUCCGAAAUGCUAGUUCUUGUAUAGUUCAAUUUGUUUAUGGUGAUGAUGGCAUGGAUCCCUCACAAAUGGAAGAGAAGAGUGGACAUCCUCUGAACUUUGACAGAUUACUUAUGAAAGUGAAGGCCACCUGUCCUGCCGGUGAUCAGAAGAGCUUGUCCCCAUCGGAUAUCUGCAAAAAGACUGAUGAAAGGCUCUCAGAACGUGAUACGACUCCCGAAGGCGGGUGCUCAGAGGCUUUCAGAGACUCUUUGUCCAAGUUCCUUAAAGUCAAAUGUGUUCAAAACUUGGAAAAAACAAUUGAAAGUUUGAAAGCCCAGGAAGAAGACCAUAACAGCUCUUUCGAAAAUAUCUCUUCAAAUAUAUCCGGCUUUACUUCUAGGCAGCUGGAGGUGUUUUUAAGAGUCUGCAUCUCACGUUAUCAUACCAAAAGGGUAGAAGCUGGAACUGCAAUUGGUGCAAUUGGAGCUCAGAGUAUUGGAGAACCAGGCACACAGAUGACGCUAAAAACUUUUCACUUUGCUGGAGUUGCAAGCAUGAAUGUUACACUUGGAGUCCCACGUAUAAAAGAAAUUAUAAAUGCAGCUAAAAGGAUUAGUACUCCAAUCAUUUCUGCAAAACUGGAGCAUGAGGACAAUGCAAAGGAGGCUAGCCUUGCAAAAGCUCGUAUAGAGAAAACACUUUUAGGGCAGGUAGCCAAAAGUAUAAAGAUUGUCAUGUCGGCGAGGUUAGCAUCCAUAGUAAUUACACUUGAUAUGGAAAUAAUACAAGCAUCUCGGCUUUGUACAGAUGCUUAUAGAGUGAAAGAAUCGAUUCUGCAGACACCAAGAAUCAAACUGAAGGAUCAGGUGUACUAUCAUUUUCUCAUUUAGAUCAUCUACUUUCUCAUAUAUUUGCUCAAAAAAAAAAAAUGUACGGUUUCUGCAGCAUGUUAAGGUCUUGAAUUCCAGAAAGCUGGAAGUAGUUCCCCAGACUGACAGAAGUAAACUUCACUUUGAGCUCCACACACUCAAGAACAAGCUUCCUUCAGUGGUUGUCACAGUAAGACAAGACAUCUAGUUUUGAAAGUCAUCAUAUAAUGGAAUCACCACUAUUGAACGUGUCGUAAUUAAUAGUGAAGAGAAGAAGGAUUCUGGAGGAGGUCCCAAGUACCUCUUGUUUGCAGAAGGGACAGGUCUCCUAGGUGUAAUGGGCACUGAAGGAGUAAAUGGCUAUGAAACCAAAAGCAAUCACAUCAUGGAAGUGCAGCAGACGCUUGGAAUUGAAGCUGCAAGAAGUUCGAUAAUUGAUGAAAUUAAGCAUACCAUGUCUAGUCAUGGAAUGACUAUAGACAUACGUCAUAUGAUGCUUCUGGCAGAUCUGAUGACAUUUAAGGGCGAAGUUCUUGGUAUUACAAGACAUGGUGUUCAGAAAAUGAAAGAUAGUGUGCUAAUGCUGGCUUCUUUUGAGAAGACAGCAGAUCACCUUUUCAAUGCUUCUGUAAAUGGACGGGAUGAUAAGAUUGAAGGAGUAAGUGAAUGCAUCAUUAUGGGAAUACCAAUGCAGUUAGGCACUGGGAUGCUUAAAGUGAGGCAAAGAGUGCAGCAGGUGGAGCUGAAUUAUGGGUUGGACCCAAUCCUGUCCUAAACUUGUUUUCGUGGUGAGACCAGUAUGUUGUGCUACAAAUGUGCAAAAAUGAUCGUAAUUUCUCAAGACGACAUCAAUGUUGAAGGAACUGGACAGAAUUUUCUGAGCGAGCAUUAACCUUGCGGAUUGCUGCGCAUGUUCUUUGGCCCAUUUUUCUCCUCUUAAACAGAAAAGAUUGAGGAUUAUAGAAUAGUAGACUUCAUAAGAGUUUAGUGGACUCUAGCUUUCUCAAAACGGGAGUCCAUGUUUAACCAUGCAAACACAGUAUGAUCCUUGGUAUGUGAUUUGAACGACCUCAUAAUUGUCUAAUAGUUCCAAAUAAUAUAGACAAUCUGCAGAAACAAACAAUGUUGUCUUGAUUCUUUCAAGAUCUCAAUCACAAUAUAAGCGAAAAAUAUGGAAA
Molecule: non-coding RNA, 4916 nt
Organism: Coffea arabica (coffee)
Lineage: Eukaryota; Viridiplantae; Streptophyta; Magnoliopsida; Gentianales; Rubiaceae
Source: RefSeq, a predicted model, not a curated record